AUUACAAAAGAAACAUGAAGAAAUCCUAAAGAAUUUCUAAAGAAAUUGUAAAGAAAUUAUAAAAAAAUAAUAAGUAGAUCUUAAAGAAAUUCUAAAGAAAUCCAAAAGAAAUCUAUAAAAAAUCCUAAAGAAAUAUUAGAGAAAUCUUAAAUAAAUCUUAAAUGUUUUUUAACAAAAUUCUAUUUUAAUCCUAAUUGAAAUCUUAAUGGACCUUAACUCAAUCCUAGGUCAAAUCCUAUCUAAAUCCUAAAUUCUAAAUUAAAUCCUAAAAAAAUCCUAAAUCCUAAAUCCUAAACCAAACCUUAAACAAACUCUAAGUUCUAAAAAAAUCCUAAACUCUAAAUCAAAUCCUAGACAAAUCCUAAAUCCUAAAUCAAAUCCUAGAUAAAUCUUAAAUUCUAAAUCAAAUCUUAAAUAAACCUUAAACCUUAAACCAAAUCCUAGCCAAAUCCUAACUCUAAAAUAAAUCCCAAAUCCUAAACCAAAUCGUAGACAAAUCCUAAAUCCUAAAUAAAUCCUAAAUCUUAAAUCAAAUCUUAAUCAAAACCUAAUUAACUUAAAUCAUCUGUAAGAUUGAUUGGAAC
This 584-nucleotide long non-coding RNA is filed under the name Physcomitrium patens. Its description in RNAcentral is "long non-coding RNA (PPAT_LNC008158)". The record is from RNAcentral. Lineage: Eukaryota; Viridiplantae; Streptophyta; Bryopsida; Funariales; Funariaceae.